Molecule: ribosomal RNA, 349 nt
Filed under: uncultured eukaryote
Lineage: Eukaryota
Description: bacterial SSU rRNA
Rfam family: Eukaryotic small subunit ribosomal RNA
Source: RNAcentral
CAAUAGCGUAUAUUAAAGUUGUUGCAGUUAAAAGCUCGUAGUUGGAUCUCAGGUCCCGGCUCGCGGUUCACUUCGCGGUGCUUACUGCCCGUCCGGACCUACCCGCCGGUUUCCCUUGGUGCUCUUCAUUGAGUGUCUCGGGUGGCCGGAACGUUUACUUUGAAAAAUUAGAGUGUUCAAAGCAGGCGCUUCGCCUGAAUAAUGGUGCAUGGAAUAAUGGAAUAGGAAGUCGUUUCUAUUUUGUUGGUUUUCGGAAAUCGACUUAAUGAUUAAUAGGGACAGUCGGGGGCAGUUUGUUAUUCAAACAGACAGAGGUGAAAUUCUUGGAACCGUUUGAACGAUCAAACAU